CCUACGGGUGGCAGCAGUGAGGAAUAUUGGGCAAGGGACGAGAGUCUGAACCAGCCAAGUAGCGGGAAGGAUGACUGCCCUAUGGGGUGUAAACUUCUUUUAUAAAGGAAUAAAACGAGGCACGUGUGCCUUUUUGCAUGUACCUUAUGAAUAAGGAUCGGCUAACUCCGUGCCAGCAGCCGCGGUAAUACGGAGGAUCCGAGCGUUAUCCGGAUUUAUUGGGUUUAAAGGGAGCGUAGUUGGGUUGUUACGUCAGUUGUGAAAGUUUGCGGCUCAACCGUAUACUUGCAAUUGAUACUGGCAGUCUGGAGUACAGUUGAGGUCGGCGGAAUUCGUGGUGUAGCGGUGAUAUGCUUAGAUAUCACGAAGAACCCCGAUUGCGAAGGCAGCUUACUAAACUGUGACUGACAUUGAUGCUCGAAAGUGUGGGUAUCAAACAGGAUUAGAUACCCGAGUAGUC
RNAcentral lists this ribosomal RNA (460 nucleotides) under uncultured bacterium. RNAcentral describes it as "partial 16S ribosomal RNA". It matches the Rfam family "Bacterial small subunit ribosomal RNA", at positions 338 to 795 of the family's 1533-position model. The record is from RNAcentral.